This 427-nucleotide ribosomal RNA is filed under the name uncultured bacterium. Its description in RNAcentral is "partial 16S ribosomal RNA". It matches the Rfam family "Bacterial small subunit ribosomal RNA", at positions 355 to 774 of the family's 1533-position model. The record is from RNAcentral.
UGGGGAAUAUUGGACAAUGGGGGCAACCCUGAUCCAGCCAUGCCGCGUGUGUGAAGAAGGCCUUUUGGUUGUAAAGCACUUUAAGCAGUGAAGAAGACUCCAUGGUUAAUACCCAUGGACGAUGACAUUAGCUGCAGAAUAAGCACCGGCUAACUCUGUGCCAGCAGCCGCGGUAAUACAGAGGGUGCAAGCGUUAAUCGGAAUUACUGGGCGUAAAGCGAGCGUAGGUGGCUUGAUAAGUCAGAUGUGAAAGCCCCUGGCUUAACCUGGGAACGGCAUCUGAUACUGUUAUGCUAGAGUAGGUGAGAGGAAGGUAGAAUUCCAGGUGUAGCGGUGAAAUGCGUAGAGAUCUGGAGGAAUACCGAUGGCGAAGGCAGCCUUCUGGCAUCAUACUGACACUGAGGUUCGAAAGCGUGGGUAGCAAACA